GCUCGGCUUGGGACGCCUGCCAGGCCAGGGGGCGCAGGAUGCCGAGGGGCGCGGCCUGUCCGGGCCGUCCGCAGCCACGCCCGCCUCGGGGGCCCUCCAGGUUCGCGUGGUGCUGUUGGGGCAGGGGCAGAGGAGCGGACCGCCCGCUCGCAGCAGCAGCAGCAGCAGCAGCGCGGGGCCUGCUAGAGCAUCCCUGUUCCAGGCUUCGCGCCCCUCGGCCGGGCUGCCUCAAGCAGGCUUCGCUCUGCCGCCCCAGAGACCCCCCUCCCCCGGGGGCGGCACGCGCCGAAGAGACCGAGGCCCGCCCUCUUCCUCCAGCGCUAGGAGCCUCUCCAGCCCCGGGUUGAAGGGCUCGUCCCGCCUGCCGGCGAAUUGAAUCUCGCGGGGAUCCUGACCGAGGCUUUGUUCUAGCGAGCUGAUGAGCGGACCCGGAGCGGAGAAGGCCACGCUCCCCGUGGGAAGAUUUUCCCUCGGGAGGCCGUUGAGCUGGCCCAGGAAGGCCGAGUCGUAAAACCAGCGGGACGCGGGAGAAGGUGCAGCAGAAGGGACAUAUUAUGGAUCUGACAGGACCCAGGAGGAGAGCCUUUUCUGCCUCAGCACCACCCUUCGGAACAUCAUCCCCCCUGAGGCAACCCUCCUGAUAAGCCAGCAAGUUCGAGCCAGCAAAGAAAUUUGCUCAAGCCCUACCUGCAGUCGGACCGCUGGCAUCCCCAACUGGCUCCACCACCUCCUAUCAUGAUUGAUAACCAACAACACUUCGAGGUUACUGAAAUCCUUGACUCCCGCCGCCAGCGUUCCGCUUUGCAGUACCUCGUUCGCUGGAAACAUUUCCCUCAUCCUGAAUGGGUUUCUGCUCCCGAUGUACGCUCACCCCGCCUAGUUGCUCGUUUUCACUCUACCUACCCUGACAAACCGGCUCCUUAGCAUUGUUCUGGGGGGGGGCGAUAUGUCAUGUUCCCCCUUUCAAUGUUCUGUUAACUUUGUAACAUUUCACAUGUCAAGCCGUUUUCCGUGUAUACCCGCCUGGCUCAUUUCUGGGUUUUUCCAUUCCUGCGCUCUGCUUUGUUUUGGAACUUUGGAAUGUAUGUUUGGGUUUGCAAUCCUAUUCAAGGUUACUUUCCCAGGCGCGUGUAACGGUUCCUAGCACCUGGGAGGGGGUGCGUGCUGACGGGUGCUUGGGGCGGGACUGGAUUGAAGGCAAGGCUUUUAAGUUUGUA
This is a long non-coding RNA of Candoia aspera, 1217 nucleotides long. RefSeq lists it as uncharacterized. The transcript is spliced from 4 exons. Lineage: Eukaryota; Metazoa; Chordata; Lepidosauria; Squamata; Candoiidae. The record is from RefSeq and is a predicted model, not a curated record.